GGAUUGUAGUUCAGUGGUAGAGCUCUUGCUUAGCGUGUGUGAGGCACUGGGUUCGAACCUCAGCACCA
RNAcentral lists this transfer RNA (68 nucleotides) under Marmota monax (woodchuck). RNAcentral describes it as "tRNA.Ala". Lineage: Eukaryota; Metazoa; Chordata; Mammalia; Rodentia; Sciuridae. The record is from RNAcentral.